AGGGCGCACGGUGGAUGCCUUGGCACAAGAAGCCGAUGAAGGACGUGUGAAUCUGCGAUAAGCCUCGGGGAGUCGAUAACAGGACGUUGAUUCGAGGAUUUCCGAAUGGGGGAACCCCGCCACUUGUCAAGGGUGGUGACCUGCACCUGAAUGUAUAGGGUGUGUGGAGGGAACGAGGGGAAGUGAAACAUCUCAGUACCCUCAGGAAGAGAAAAUAACUAAUGAUUCUGUGAGUAGUGGCGAGCGAAAGCGGAUGAGACUAAACCUGUGGUGUGUGAUACCGGUGAGGGGUUGCAUCAUGGGGGUUGUGGGAGUGAUGCGUGCCAGUUCUUACCGGCUGGUGGUGUGGUGUGUUGCGGUAGGCGAAGCGUCUGGGAUGGCGUGCCGGAGAGGGUGAGAGUCCUGUAGCUGAAACCGUGGUGCCUGCAUUGUGUUGUUUCCCGAGUAGCACGGGGCCCGUGAAAUCUCGUGUGAAUCUGCCAGGACCACCUGGUAAGUCUAAAUACUUUCUUGUGACCGAUAGUGGAUCAGUACCGUGAGGGAAUGGUGAAAAGUACCCCGGGAGGGGAGUGAAAUAGUACCUGAAACCGUGUGCCUACAAGCCGUCAGAGCCUUUUGGGGUGAUGGCGUGCCUUUUGAAGAAUGAGCCUGCGAGUUAGUGUUCUGUCGCGAGGUUAACCCGUGUGGGGUAGUCGUAGCGAAAGCGAGUCUGAAGAGGGCGUGUGAGUGGCAGGAUCUAGACCCGAAGCGGAGUGAUCUACCCAUGGCCAGGUUGAAGCGUGUGUAAGAGCGCGUGGAGGACCGAACCCACUUCAGUUGAAAAUGGAGGGGAUGAGCUGUGGGUAGGGGUGAAAGGCCAAUCAAACUCUGUGAUAGCUGGUUCUCCCCGAAAUGCAUUUAGGUGCAGCGUUGCGUGUUGCUUGCUGGAGGUAGAGCUACUGGUUGGCUGAUGGGCCUUAUCGGGUUACUGACGUCAGCCAAACUCCGAAUGCCGGUAAGUUUUAGCGUGGCAGUGAGACAGUGGGGGAUAAGCUUCAUUGUCGAGAGGGAAACAGCCCAGACCAUCAACUAAGGCCCCUAAGCGUGUGCUAAGUGGGAAAGGAUGUGGAGUUGCUGAGACAACCAGGAGGUUGGCUUAGAAGCAGCCAUCCUUGAAAGAGUGCGUAAUAGCUCACUGGUCAAGUGAUUGAGCGCCGAUAAUGUAGCGGGGCUAAGUACACCGCCGAAGUUGUGGCAGCACCACGUAUAGCCGUAAUGGUGUGGUGUUGGGUAGGGGAGCGUCGAGUUGCUGGUGAAGUCGCCGUGUGAACGAGUGGUGGAAGCGAUUCGAGUGAGAAUGCAGGCAUGAGUAGCGAAAGACGGGUGAGAAACCCGUCCACCGGAUGACCAAGGGUUCCAGGGCUAGGCUAAUCCGCCCUGGGUAAGUCGGGACCUAAGGCGAGGCCGACAGGCGUAGUCGAUGGACAACCAGUUGAUAUUCUGGUACCGACACACAACCGACAGUACCAAAACACAUGAGACUAACCCUGUGAUGACCCCGUCAGGCCUUCGGGCCUGUGGUUGGGUUUGAGUGGGGGACCUGAGUGUGGAGUCGGUAAGCGUGAGGUGUGACGCAGAAAGGUAGCCAGGCCGUGCGAUGGUAGUCACGGUCUAAGGUUGUAGCACGUGGGGGUAGGUAAAUCCGUCCCCGCAAGUGUGUGAGAGCUGAUGGGCGCCCCACAUUGGUGGGGUGAUCUGGUGAUCCUCUGCUGCCGAGAAAAGCAUCGACGUGAGGGUGUGUGUUGCCCGUACCCUAUAACCGACACAGGUGGUCGAGUAGAGAAUACUAAGGUGAUCGAGAGAAUCGUGGUUAAGGAACUCGGCAAAAUGCCCCCGUAACUUCGGGAGAAGGGGGACCAUCCCGGUGAACCAUCCUUGCGGUGGGAUGUGCUGGUGGUGGUCGCAGAGGCCAGAGAGAAGCGACUGUUUAUUAAAAACACAGGUCCGUGCGAAGAUGUAAGUCGAUGUAUACGGACUGACGCCUGCCCGGUGCUGGAAGGUUAAGAGGACCUGUUAGACCCUUGUGGUCGAAGCGGAGAAUUUAAGCCCCAGUAAACGGCGGUGGUAACUAUAACCAUCCUAAGGUAGCGAAAUUCCUUGUCGGGUAAGUUCCGACCUGCACGAAUGGCGUAACGACUUCUCUGCUGUCUCAACCACAGGCCCGGUGAAAUUGCACUACGAGUAAAGAUGCUCGUUACGCGCGGCAGGACGAAAAGACCCCGGGACCUUCACUAUAGCUUGGUAUUGGUGUUCGGUUCGGUUUGUGUAGGAUAGGUGGGAGACUGUGAAGCAUUCACGCUAGUGGGUGUGGAGUCGUUGUUGAAAUACCACUCUGAUCGGAUUGGAUACCUGAACCUUGGCCCAUGAUCUGGGUUGGGGACAGUGCCUGGUGGGUAGUUUAACUGGGGCGGUUGCCUCCUAAAAUGUAACGGAGGCGCCCAAAGGUUCCCUCAGCCUGGUUGGCAAUCAGGUGGUGAGUGUAAGUGCACAAGGGAGCUUGACUGUGAGACUGACAGGUCGAGCAGGGACGAAAGUCGGGACUAGUGAUCCGGCACCUACUUGUGGAAGUGGUGUCGCUCAACGGAUAAAAGGUACCCCGGGGAUAACAGGCUGAUCUUCCCCAAGAGUCCAUAUCGACGGGAUGGUUUGGCACCUCGAUGUCGGCUCGUCGCAUCCUGGGGCUGUAGCAGGUCCCAAGGGUUCGGCUGUUCGCCGAUUAAAGCGGCACGCGAGCUGGGUUCAGAACGUCGUGAGACAGUUUGGUCUCUAUCCUCUGCGCUCGUUGGAAUUUUGAGAAGACCUGCCCAUAGUACGAGAGGACCUGGGUGGACGAACCUCUGGUAUGCCAGUUGUCGCGCCAGCGGCACGGCUGGUUAGCUACGUUCGGAAGGGAUAACCGCUGAAAGCAUCUAAGCGGGAAGCCUGCUUCAAGAUAAGAAUUCCAUGAGACCUCGAGUCUCUGAAGACUCCAUGUAGAACACAUGGUUGA
RNAcentral lists this ribosomal RNA (3028 nucleotides) under food metagenome. RNAcentral's name for it is "bacterial LSU rRNA". It matches the Rfam family "Bacterial large subunit ribosomal RNA". The record is from RNAcentral.